AACGAACGCUGGCGGCGUGCCUAACACAUGCAAGUCGAACGAGAAAGUCGUAGCAAUACGGCGAGUAAAGUGGCGCACGGGUCAGUAACACGUGGAUCAUCAACCUCCGGGAGGAGCACAACCUGUCGAAAGACGGGCUAAUACUCCGUAAGACCACGGGGCCUUCGGGCCCUGGGGUAAAAGGUGGCCUCUACUUGUAAGCCAUCGCCUGGAGACGAGUCCGCGCACCAUUAGCUAGUUGGUAGGGUAACGGCCUACCAAGGCCGAGAUGGUUAGCUGGUCUUAGAGGACGACCAGCGACACUGGAACUGAGACACGGUCCAGACUCCUACGGGAGGCAG
RNAcentral lists this ribosomal RNA (341 nucleotides) under uncultured bacterium. RNAcentral describes it as "bacterial SSU rRNA". It matches the Rfam family "Bacterial small subunit ribosomal RNA", at positions 29 to 351 of the family's 1533-position model. The record is from RNAcentral.